RNAcentral lists this unclassified non-coding RNA (320 nucleotides) under Luellia sp. RNAcentral's name for it is "partial contains 5.8S ribosomal RNA, internal transcribed spacer 2, and large subunit ribosomal RNA". The stretch from base 1 to 52 matches the Rfam family "5.8S ribosomal RNA", at positions 103 to 154 of the family's 154-position model. The record is from RNAcentral. RNAcentral also lists the same sequence under 1 other name. Lineage: Eukaryota; Fungi; Basidiomycota; Agaricomycetes; Trechisporales; Hydnodontaceae.
AACGCACCUUGCGCCCAUUGGUAUUCCGAUGGGCAUGCCUGUUUGAGUGUCUUGAAAUCAUCAAGCCCGUUCGGUUUCACCGCCGAGCGGGAUUGGACCUGGGGGCUUGCCGCUUCGCCGCGGCUCCCCUUAAAUGCAUCGGUUUCGGGUCUCUGUGGGAGUAACCCCUUGGGCGUUGUAUAACCCUCGCCGUCUGGGAACUCCUCGCGACGUCCGCGUCGUCGAAGGGCCUUGAAGGAACCUCGACCUGCUGUAGAGCGGCGGUCAACGUUAAUUUGAAAUCUGACCUCAAAUCAGGUAGGACUACCCGCUGAACUUAA